This 450-nucleotide ribosomal RNA is filed under the name uncultured organism. RNAcentral's name for it is "partial 16S ribosomal RNA". It matches the Rfam family "Bacterial small subunit ribosomal RNA", at positions 331 to 797 of the family's 1533-position model. The record is from RNAcentral.
GUACACUCCUACGGGAGGCAGCAGUGGGGAAUAUUGGACAAUGGGCGCAAGCCUGAUCCAGCCAUGCCGCGUGAGUGAUGAAGGCCCUAGGGUUGUAAAGCUCUUUCACCGGUGAAGAUAAUGACGGUAACCGGAGAAGAAGCCCCGGCUAACUUCGUGCCAGCAGCCGCGGUAAUACGAAGGGGGCUAGCGUUGUUCGGAUUUACUGGGCGUAAAGCGCACGUAGGCGGACUAUUAAGUCAGGGGUGAAAUCCCGGGGCUCAACCCCGGAACUGCCUUUGAUACUGGUAGUCUUGAGUUCGAGAGAGGUGAGUGGAAUUCCGAGUGUAGAGGUGAAAUUCGUAGAUAUUCGGAGGGACACCAGUGGCGAAGGCGGCUCACUGGCUCGAUACUGACGCUGAGGUGCGAAAGCGUGGGGAGCAAACAGGAUUAGAUAUCCGGGUAGUCCCA